UUAAGUCAAAUUUGUAUAGAGUUGGAACGUUUGCCUACGUUUGCCGCUAGGGGCGCUGUUCCAACUCCAUACAAAUUUGAGUUA
This 84-nucleotide microRNA precursor is filed under the name Bombyx mori (domestic silkworm). Its description in RNAcentral is "mir-2807 microRNA precursor family". It matches the Rfam family "mir-2807 microRNA precursor family". Lineage: Eukaryota; Metazoa; Arthropoda; Insecta; Lepidoptera; Bombycidae. The record is from Rfam by way of RNAcentral.